This is a long non-coding RNA of Myotis davidii, 1165 nucleotides long. RefSeq lists it as uncharacterized. Lineage: Eukaryota; Metazoa; Chordata; Mammalia; Chiroptera; Vespertilionidae. The transcript is spliced from 7 exons. The record is from RefSeq and is a predicted model, not a curated record.
UGUUUUUAUGUAUCUUUAAGGUAGAUGGAAAUUCUAAAUUGAAGGGAGCACAGACUGUGCAGGCCAUUGUGGGAAUCUCAAGGAUUCCACAUGGGACAGGAAAGUGAGUUGAAGACGUGGGUGGGAGAAGUCAGUUCAAGGCCAGGUCAGUAGAAUUUGGCCUGUGCAGCCUUGUGAGUUCUCUGUAGGAACCAGGAAGAAAGCAAAGGGAAGUUGUGAAUGGAAACAUCUGAACAUAAAGAGAAUCCUUGGAAGGCACUCAUGGCCCGCCCUCAUUUGGUUCAUUCUAACCAUCCAGCUGUGUUAGUCAGGGUCCUCCAGAGAAAGAGAAGACAGGACACACAGGCGAUCCAUAGAGUAGCUUCUCCCACAUCUGCUGUUGCUUACAAUUAACCAGUGUAAAAUGAUCAAUAUCCCAAAGAGGCAUAUUUUGGGGUGGAAAACUUUGCUCACCUCUUUUGUAUUAAAGGGGAACAUAACUAGCAAAGGAAGCAGGAGAACACCACCUGCACUCAGUAUUUAUCCUAUUAAAGCAAAUUCUUACCACUGCAGUAUAUUUCGAAAGAGGAAGGGUAGAUGGGAUCACGGCUGUGUCAGCUUCACAGGGCUGGCAAAAAUGUAAUACUGGUGAGACUUGAUCCUGAGACCUGCCACACAGAGGAGUCGUCUGGUCCUUGGCCAACUUCAGCUUUGAUGUUGGCCAUUCCUUCUUGGAUAAGUCAGUUGACAGCAACUUGACAAGGGCUGCUGGGGUGCGCCCUGUCUGUCCCGCACCAUCCACCUCCUCAUCUCCCACUGCCUUCAGCCUGCCCUGGGCUCCCAUCACCCUCUGCCACCUCAUCUAGAUAAGCUCACUGCAGUCUCCCAGAUCCUUUCCUGCUCUGACAGCUGCUGUCCGUGCUGAAGACAGGGUUUUAAUUUUUAAAUGAACCUGAUUUUGUCACCUUCCCUUCUUAGAGCCUCUCAAUGACUUCUCGUUGCUAAAAAUGACAGUCUCCGAAGAGGCCUGAGCUUUGUGCGUCCGCCCUGCCCUCUCUACCUGCUCUUUCUCCCCAGUCCUGGACCCACCCGCUCCCUCCUCUCUGGGAAGUUCAGACACACGGUUCUGCCCCUCACUCAGCUUCUUGGUGGCUGUACCCCAAGCAUGUCAAACUCAUGGACCGCA